UAAGGAAUAUUGGUCAAUGGACGCAAGUCUGAACCAGCCAUGCCGCGUGAAGGAUGAAGGCCCUAUGGGUUGUAAACUUCUUUUGUACGGGAAAAAACCCUUCUUCGUGAAGGAGGUUGAUGGUACCGUAAGAAUAAGGAUCGGCUAACUCCGUGCCAGCAGCCGCGGUAAUACGGAGGAUCCAAGCGUUAUCCGGAUUUAUUGGGUUUAAAGGGUGCGUAGGUGGGUUAUUAAGUCAGUGGUGAAAGCCUGCAGCUUAACUGCAGAAUUGCCAUUGAUACUGAUAAUCUUGAGUACAGUUGAGGCGGGCGGAAUGUGUCAUGUAGCGGUGAAAUGCUUAGAUAUGACACAGAACACCGAUUGCGAAGGCAGCUCGCUAAACUGCAACUGACACUGAGGCACGAAAGCGUGGGGAGCAAACAG
RNAcentral lists this ribosomal RNA (423 nucleotides) under uncultured bacterium. Its description in RNAcentral is "bacterial SSU rRNA". It matches the Rfam family "Bacterial small subunit ribosomal RNA", at positions 355 to 775 of the family's 1533-position model. The record is from RNAcentral.